Molecule: ribosomal RNA, 332 nt
Filed under: uncultured Gemmatimonadota bacterium
Lineage: Bacteria; Pseudomonadati; Gemmatimonadota
Description: bacterial SSU rRNA
Rfam family: Bacterial small subunit ribosomal RNA
Source: RNAcentral
CGCGUAGGCGGUUGGGGUAGUCCGUGGUGAAAGCUCGUGGCUCAACUACGAGUCGGCCAUGGAUACUCCUCGACUUGAGCACUGUAGAGGCAGGUGGAAUUCCGGGUGUAGCGGUGGAAUGCGUAGAGAUCCGGAAGAACACCGGUGGCGAAGGCGGCCUGCUGGGCAGUAGCUGACGCUGAGGCGCGACAGCGUGGGGAGCAAACAGGAUUAGAUACCCUGGUAGUCCACGCCGUAAACGAUGGGCACUAGGUGCUUGGGGGAGCGACCCCUUGAGUGCCGGCGCUAACGCAUUAAGUGCCCCGCCUGGGGAGUACGGCCGCAAGGCUGAA